UAGGGAAUNUUCCACAAUGGGCGCAAGCCUGAUGGAGCAACACCGCGUGAGUGAAGAAGGGUUUCGGCUCGUAAAGCUCUGUUGUUAAAGAAGAACACGUAUGAGAGUAACUGUUCAUACGUUGACGGUAUUUAACCAGAAAGUCACGGCUAACUACGUGCCAGCAGCCGCGGUAAUACGUAGGUGGCAAGCGUUAUCCGGAUUUAUUGGGCGUAAAGAGAGUGCAGGCGGUUUUCUAAGUCUGAUGUGAAAGCCUUCGGCUUAACCGGAGAAGUGCAUCGGAAACUGGAUAACUUGAGUGCAGAAGAGGGUAGUGGAACUCCAUGUGUAGCGGUGGAAUGCGUAGAUAUAUGGAAGAACACCAGUGGCGAAGGCGGCUACCUGGUCUGCAACUGACGCUGAGACUCGAAAGCAUGGGUAGCGAACAGGAUUAGAUACCCUGGUAGUCCAUGCCGUAAACGAUGAGUGCUAGGUGUUGGAGGGUUUCCGCCCUUCAGUGCCGGAGCUAACGCAUUAAGCACUCCGCCUGGGGAGUACGACCGCAAGGUUG
RNAcentral lists this ribosomal RNA (550 nucleotides) under uncultured bacterium. RNAcentral's name for it is "bacterial SSU rRNA". It matches the Rfam family "Bacterial small subunit ribosomal RNA", at positions 355 to 896 of the family's 1533-position model. The record is from RNAcentral.